CCGACAACCGCCAUGGAUGUGGGGACAAAGAGGUCGCUCAACCAUCGCCUCCCCACUCUACCCCGGUCGCCUGCCUAUCCCUCCGGUCGACCUGCAGCUAGGGGAGGUCUCGACCUGCAGCAAUACGCCCUUCGUCGGUGGCGACUUCCACCGUGUCCUUCCCUCCGUCGGCCGUGACGACGCCUCUGUCGGCUGCUGCAACCUUCAGAUUAGUCAACGUCAACGCUCGUUCGUGCCAAAUCUAUGUCCCCUCCCAUACCACGGGCUCUUCCUAGCCAUGUAGAGGUAAACUGUUACAUGGAGCAUAAACCUAACACUAGUGCCCAUAGUUUACGACCACCACAUAAAACGGAGAAGAGCUAUGCAAGAGAAUCCAUAGAUCAAUCACUAGACAACGUUCACCAGCUCGGGUUAAUGGCGCAUUACAUAGAACAAUUAGUGUGCCACAGCAAGAUGCUUCAGGUUUUUCAAUUUGUUCACCGCAACCAUACAAUCAUCUUCAAAGACUACACGGGAGUUGUAUAGGUCCAACACUAAUAGAUUAGCAAACGUCAGUGCACAAUCUUCAGCAUUUUCAUGUACAAUUCUUCACAGAAGCGUUGAACGUUUGUCUGAGAAAUUGGAAUGUAAAACUAAGGUACAAUUCUUCAGAGAACUUAGUAGCAUGGAAGCAGCCCCCGUCUGUUGUGUUGCCGCUUGAGGUCGACGCAUCCGGACGCCACUGUGAUGGAUGUCGCUACCUGCAAAUCACACCCACCGCCACCGAGCACAGCCGCUUGGUGGCGCUGGUAGCACGACGCCGCUCUACUUCACCCCCAUGGCCGAUGCAGCCAGCGUGCGUGUCACCUACGCAGUUCCACUCCCCUGCCACAUGGUCUGCAUCCUUGGUGAAGCUGCAUGUUCUGACGUCGUGUAUAUUCUUGUCUUCCCCAUGCGGCGUCCUCACCUUGGCUCCUCGGGCGCCCUACCUACCGAUGAGAGGAUGCUAUGACGCGGGAAGCGCCCUCGUAUUGACCAGUUUUGGCUGCCGCGCCUCGGAUCUCGACGUUGUGGGAAGUCUCGGAGCCGCCGUGUGGUGUUCCCGCCAGCAGCAUCUCAAGGGGCGUGGGAGAGUUAGUGCGGAGAUGGGCCAAUCCCUAAAUGAUUUUUGCUAAUCAUUGCGAUAAAAGGGGGUUAUCUGUUAAUUAUGUUUAAGUGUAUGCUCGGGGAUCCCAACUUUAACCCGUUGCGUCCAUUAUAGAUCUUAUGGCCCAUGUAGGAAUUUUCAGAUUUUCACUGAAAAGUCAUUUUCACCGGAUACUUCGCCUUUUAAAAAAACAGCUCAUAAAAUGAAAACCAAUUGUU
Molecule: long non-coding RNA, 1344 nt
Filed under: Hordeum vulgare
Lineage: Eukaryota; Viridiplantae; Streptophyta; Magnoliopsida; Poales; Poaceae
Description: long non-coding RNA (HVUL_LNC004239)
Source: RNAcentral